GCCGAGUUGCAGCCACACUGCAGUCGACGGUACCAGGAAGCAGCUUGCUGCUUCGCUGACGAGUGGCGGACGGGUGAGUAAUGUCUGGGAAACUGCCUGAUGGAGGGGGAUAACUACUGGAAACGGUAGCUAAUACCGCAUAACGUCGCAAGACCAAAGAGGGGGACCUUCGGGCCUCUUGCCAUCAGAUGUGCCCAUAUGGGAUUAUCUAGUAUGUGGGGUAACGGCUCACCUACGCGACGAUCCCUAUCUGGUCUGAGAGGAUGACCAGCCACACUGGAACUGAGACACGGUCCAGACUCCUACGGGAGGCAGCAGUGGGGAAUAUUGCACAAUGGGCGCAAGCCUGAUGCAGCCAUGCCGCGUGUAUGAAGAAGGCCUUCGGGUUGUAAAGUACUUUCAGCGGGGAGGAAGGCGACAGGGUUAAUAACCCUGUCGAUUGACGUUACCCGCAAAAAAAGCACCGGCUAACUCCGUGCCAGCAGCCGCGGUAAUACAGAGGGUGCAAGCGUUAAUCAGAAUUACUGGGCGUAAAGCGCACGCACGCGGUCUGUCAACUCAGAUGUGAAAUCCCCGGGCUCAACCUGGGAACUGCAUUCGAAACUGGCACGCUAGACUCUUGUAGAGGGGGGUAGAAUUCCGGGUGUAGCGGUGAAAUGCGUAGAGCUCUGGAAGAAUACCGGUGGCAAAAGCCCCCCUGUGAAUAAACACCCCCCCUCAAGAGCCCAAGCUUGGGG
This 737-nucleotide ribosomal RNA is filed under the name Enterobacter hormaechei. Its description in RNAcentral is "bacterial SSU rRNA". It matches the Rfam family "Bacterial small subunit ribosomal RNA", at positions 41 to 766 of the family's 1533-position model. Lineage: Bacteria; Pseudomonadati; Pseudomonadota; Gammaproteobacteria; Enterobacterales; Enterobacteriaceae. The record is from RNAcentral.